RNAcentral lists this ribosomal RNA (400 nucleotides) under uncultured bacterium. RNAcentral's name for it is "bacterial SSU rRNA". It matches the Rfam family "Bacterial small subunit ribosomal RNA", at positions 356 to 773 of the family's 1533-position model. The record is from RNAcentral.
GGGGAAUAUUGCACAAUGGGGGAAACCCUGAUGCAGCAACGCCGCGUGAGUGAUGACGGUCUUCGGAUUGUAAAGCUCUGUCUUUUGGGACGAUAAUGACGGUACCAAAGGAGGAAGCCACGGCUGACUACGUGCCAGCAGCCGCGGUAAUACGUAGGUGGCAAGCGUUGUCCGGAUUUACUGGGCGUAAAGAAUGUGUAGGCGGAUACUUAAGUGAGAUGUGAAAGCCCCGGGCUCAACCUGGGGACUGCAUUUCAAACUGGGUAUCUAGAGUGCAGGAGAGGAAAGCGGAAUUCCUAGUGUAGCGGUGAAAUGCGUAGAGAUUAGGAAGAACAUCAGUGGCGAAGGCGGCUUUCUGGGCUGUAACUGACGCUGAGGCAUGAAAGCGUGGGGAGCAAAC